CACACCGCCCGUCACACCAUGGGAGUCAGUUGCUCUAGAAGUCGGUGCGCCAACCUAGUGAGGUACGCCGCCUAAAGAGUGACUGGUAACUGGGGUG
This 97-nucleotide ribosomal RNA is filed under the name uncultured bacterium. Its description in RNAcentral is "partial 16S ribosomal RNA". It matches the Rfam family "Bacterial small subunit ribosomal RNA", at positions 1386 to 1482 of the family's 1533-position model. The record is from RNAcentral.